Molecule: ribosomal RNA, 541 nt
Filed under: Cynomys leucurus (white-tailed prairie dog)
Lineage: Eukaryota; Metazoa; Chordata; Mammalia; Rodentia; Sciuridae
Description: partial 16S ribosomal RNA
Rfam family: Bacterial large subunit ribosomal RNA
Source: RNAcentral
CCUCUAGCAUAAAUAGUAUUAGAGGCACUGCCUGCCCAGUGACAUACGUUCAACGGCCGCGGUAUCCUGACCGUGCAAAGGUAGCAUAAUCACUUGUUCUUUAAAUAAGGACUAGUAUGAAUGGCUUAACGAAGGUUUAACUGUCUCUUACUUUUAAUCAGUGAAAUUGACCUUCCCGUGAAGAGGCGGGAAUUUCCUAAUAAGACGAGAAGACCCUAUGGAGCUUUAAUCUAAUAGUCUCGCAACCCUAAUUAUAUCUAAGGAGUUAAAAUUUUUGUUCAUAGACUAGAAAUUUUGGUUGGGGUGACCUCGGAGAAUAAACUAACCUCCGAAUGAUAAUAAUCUAGACACUACAUGUCCAAAUUACAAUUCAUUAAUUGACCCAAAUUAUUGAUCAACGGAACAAGUUACCCUAGGGAUAACAGCGCAAUCCUAUUCAAGAGUCCAUAUCGACAAUUAGGGUUUACGACCUCGAUGUUGGAUCAGGACAUCCAAAUGGUGUAACCGCUAUUAAUGGUUCGUUUGUUCAACGAUUAAAGUC